RNAcentral lists this ribosomal RNA (252 nucleotides) under uncultured bacterium. RNAcentral's name for it is "partial 16S ribosomal RNA". It matches the Rfam family "Bacterial small subunit ribosomal RNA", at positions 524 to 776 of the family's 1533-position model. The record is from RNAcentral.
UACGAAGGGGGCGAGCGUUGUUCGGAAUUACUGGGCGUAAAGAGUGUGUAGGCGGUGCUCUAAGUUCGGUGUGAAAUCUCCCGCUUAACUGGGAGGGUGCGCCGGAAACUGGAGUGCUCGAACGUGGGAGAGGAAAGCGGAAUUCCUGGUGUAGCGGUGAAAUGCGUAGAUAUCGGGAGGAACACCGAUGGCGAAGGCAGGUCUCUGGGCAUUAACUGACGCUGAGGAGCGAAAGCAUGGGGAGCGAACAGG